CCAAUGCGGAUACCCUGGGGGUCGCUCUCCCAGGCUCUGUCAGGUGGCAGUGGGAGUGCAGGGCUCUGCCCUGUGAUGUAGUCCCUUUCCACAACAUCUGAGAUGAAGCUAGGCCCCAAGUCCGCGCCUGCAUAUUCCUACAGCUCAGAGUCCCAUGGACCGUGACUGAGGAGAUAAACCAUGCAGGAAACAGUU
Erinaceus europaeus (western European hedgehog) is the source of this 195-nucleotide non-coding RNA. The record is from Rfam. Lineage: Eukaryota; Metazoa; Chordata; Mammalia; Eulipotyphla; Erinaceidae.